This 482-nucleotide ribosomal RNA is filed under the name uncultured bacterium. Its description in RNAcentral is "partial 16S ribosomal RNA". It matches the Rfam family "Bacterial small subunit ribosomal RNA", at positions 30 to 507 of the family's 1533-position model. The record is from RNAcentral.
AUUGAACGCUGGCGGCAUGCCUUACACAUGCAAGUCGAACGGUAACAGGUCUUCGGAUGCUGACGAGUGGCGAACGGGUGAGUAAUACAUCGGAACGUGCCCAGACCUGGGGGUUAACGAGGCGAAAGCUUUGCUAAUACCGCAUACGAUCUAAGGAUGAAAGCAGGGGACCGCAAGGCCUUGUGCGUUCUGAGCGGCCGAUGGCAGAUUAGGUAGUUGUUGGGAUAAAAGCUUACCAAGCCGACGAUCUGUAGCUGGUCUGAGAGGACGACCAGCCACACUGGAACUGAGACACGGCCCAGACUCCUACGGGAGGCAGCAGUGGGGAAUUUUGGACAAUGGGCGAAAGCCUGAUCCAGCAAUGCCGCGUGCAGGAUGAAGGCCUUCGGGUUGUAAACUGCUUUUGUACGGAACGAAAAGGCUCUGGCUAAUACCUGGGGGACAUGACGGUACCGUAAGAAUAAGCACCGGCUAACUACGUG